AGGUUACUGCUAUCGGUGUUCGCCUAAGCCAUGCGAGUCAUAUGUUCGUAAGAACAUGGCGUACUGCUCAGUAACACGUGGAUAACCUGCCCUUGGGUCCGGCAUAACCCCGGGAAACUGGGGAUAAUUCCGGAUAACGCACAUAUGCUGGAAUGCUUUUUGCGUAAAAUGGAUUCGUCUGCCCAAGGAUGGGUCUGCGGCCUAUCAGGUAGUAGUGGGUGUAAUGUACCUACUAGCCUACGACGGGUACGGGUUGUGAGAGCAAGAGCCCGGAGAUGGAUUCUGAGACAUGAAUCCAGGCCCUACGGGGCGCAGCAGGCGCGAAAACUUUACAAUGCGGGAAACCGUGAUAAGGGGACACCGAGUGCCAGCAUCUUAUGCUGGCUGUCCGGGUGUGUAAAAUACACCUGUUAGCAAGGGCCGGGCAAGACCGGUACCAGCCGCCGCGGUAACACCGGCGGCCCGAGUGGUGAUCGUGAUUAUUGGGUCUAAAGGGUCCGUAGCCGGUUUGGUCAGUCCUCCGGGAAAUCUGACAGCUCAACUGUUAGGCUAUCGGAGGAUACUGCCAGACUUGGAACCGGGAGAGGUAAGAGGUACUACAGGGGUAGGAGUGGAAUCUUGUAAUCCCUGUGGGACCACCUGUGGCGAAGGCGUCUUACCAGAACGGGUUCGACGGUGAGGGACGAAAGCUGGGGGCACGAACCGGAUUAGAUACCCGGGUAGUCCCAGCCGUAAACGAUGCUCGCUAGGUGUCAGGCAUGGCGCGACCGUGUCUGGUGCCGCAGGGAAGCCGUGAAGCGAGCCACCUGGGAAGUACGGCCGCAAGGCUGAAACUUAA
RNAcentral lists this ribosomal RNA (838 nucleotides) under uncultured archaeon. RNAcentral describes it as "bacterial SSU rRNA". It matches the Rfam family "Archaeal small subunit ribosomal RNA", at positions 21 to 859 of the family's 1478-position model. The record is from RNAcentral.